GNNNNNNANNNNCGGAUGCUAGUACACGUGGACACCUACCCUUGGGUCUGGCAUAAUCCUGGGAAACUGGGUAUAAUUCCAGAUAGGUCACAGAUGCUGGAAUGCACUGUGGCCGAAAGCUCCGGCGCCCAAGGAUGGGUCUGCGGCCUAUCAGGGUUGUAGUGGGUGUAACGGACCUACUAGCCUACGACGGGUACGGGUUGUGAGAGCAAGAGCCCGGAGAUGGAUUCUGAGACACGAAUCCAGGCCCUACGGGGUGCAGCAGGCGCGAAAACUUUACAAUGCGGGAAACCGUGAUAAGGGAAUCUCGAGUGCCAGCAUAUAAUGUUGGCUGUCCAGAUGCCUAAAAAGCAUCUGUUAGCAAGGGCCGGGCAAGACCGGUGCCAGCCGCCGCGGUAACACCGGCGGCCCGAGUGGUAACCGCUUUUAUUGGGUCUAAAGGGUCUGUAGCCGGCCAAGUAAGUCCCUUGGGAAAUCUGGCAGCUUAACUGUCAGGCUGCUAGGGGAUACUGCUAGGCUUGGGACCGGGAGAGGUGAGAGGUACCUUGGGGGUAGGGGUGAAAUCUUGUGAUCCUCGGGGGACCACCAGUGGCGAAGGCGUCUCACCAGAACGGGUCCGACGGUAAGGGACGAAAGCUAGGGGCACGAACCGGAUUAGAUACCCGGGUAGUCCUAGCCGUAAACGAUGCUCGCUAGGUGUCAGUCACGGUGCGACCGUGAUUGGUGCCGUAGGGAAGCCGUGAAUCGAGCCACCUGGGAAGUAUGGCCGCAAGGCUGAAACUUAAAAGGAAUUGGCGGGGGAGCACUACAACGGGUGGAGCCUGCGGUUUAAUUGGAUUCAACGCCGGAAAUCUCACCGGGGGCGACAGCGAUAUGAAGGUCAGGCUGAAGACCUUACCCGAUUAGCUGAGAGGUGGUGCAUGGCCCGUCGUCAGUUCGUACUGUGAAGCAUCCUGUUAAGUCAGGCAACGAGCGAAGACCCGAU
This 985-nucleotide ribosomal RNA is filed under the name uncultured Methanosaeta sp. RNAcentral describes it as "bacterial SSU rRNA". It matches the Rfam family "Archaeal small subunit ribosomal RNA", at positions 70 to 1057 of the family's 1478-position model. Lineage: Archaea; Methanobacteriati; Methanobacteriota; Methanomicrobia; Methanotrichales; Methanotrichaceae. The record is from RNAcentral.